UUGGCUUAGAAGCAGCCAUCGUUUAAAGAAAGCGUAAUAGCUCACUGGUCUAAUGACGUUGCGCCGAAAAUGUAACGGGGCUAAGCAUGGUACCGAAGCUUUGAAUUCCGCGUAAGCGGUCUGGUAGGGGAGCGUUCUUCACGGGCAGAAGGUGUGUCGCAAGGCAUGCUGGACUGUGGAGAAGUGAUUAUGCUGACAUGAGUAACGAUAAAACGGGUGAAAAACCCGUUCGCCGUAAACCCAAGGUUUUCCGGGUAAAGGUAAUCUUCCCGGAGUUAGUCGGCCCCUAAGGCGAGGCUGAAAGGCGUAGCUGAUGGGAAACGUGUUAAUAUUCACGUACUUGUGUGUUCGCGCGAUGAAGGGACGCAGGAAGAUAGGCAAGCCGGGCGCUGGUUGUCCCGGUGCAAGCGUGUAGGGAUGAGGAGCUGGCAAAUCCGCUUCUCUCUAUCCUGAGACGCGAGUCCGUGCCCGCAAGGGCUGAAGUUGUCGAGUCUAUGCUGCCUAGAAAAGCUUCUAAGUAUAGGACACGCAAACCGUACCGGAAACCAACUCAGGUGGGUGGGAUGAAUAAUCCAAGGCGCUCGAGAGAACUCUGGCCAAGGAACUCGGCAAAAUAACCCCGUACCUUCGGAAGAAGGGGUGCUUUUUAGGGUGAAACGAUUCACUCUGUCGAGCCCUGAAAAGCCGCAGAGAAAUGGUGGUGGCGACUGUUUACUAAAAACAUAGGUCUGUGCCAAGUCGUAUAGACGACGUAUACGGACUGACGCCUGCCCGGUGCUGGAAGGUUAAAAGGAGGAGUCAGCGCAAGCGAAGCUCCGAAUUGAAGCCCCAGUAAACGGCGGCCGUAACUAUAACGGUCCUAAGGUAGCGAAAUUCCUUGUCGGGUAAGUUCCGACCUGCACGAAUGGCGUAACGAUCUCCACACUGUCUCGGCCAGAGACUCGGUGAAAUUGAAGUCGCGGUGAAAAUGCCGUGUACCCGCAGAAAGACGGAAAGACCCUGUGCACCUUUACUAUAGCUUGACAUUGGGAUUUGAGCCUGCAUGUGUAGCAUAGGUGGGAGCCCGUGAACCCUGUACGCCAGUAUGGGGGGAGGCAACGUUGAAAUACCACCCUUGUUUGUUCAGGUCCCUAACUCCUCGCCGUUAUCCGGUAGGAGGACAGUGUCUGGUGGGUAGUUUGACUGGGGCGGUCGCCUCCCAAAAUGUAACGGAGGCAUGCAAAGGUUCCCUCAGGCUGAUUGGAAACCAGCCGUCGAGUGCAAACGCAGAAGGGAGCUUGACUGCAAGAGAGACAUCUCGAGCAGGUACGAAAGUAGGUGUUAGUGAUCCGGUGAUCCCGAAUGGAAGGGUCAUCGCUCAUUGGAUAAAAGGUACGCCGGGGAUAACAGGCUGAUCGCAUCCAAGAGUUCACAUCGACGAUGCGGUUUGGCACCUCGAUGUCGGCUCAUCACAUCCUGGGGCUGAAGCAGGUCCCAAGGGUACGGCUGUUCGCCGUUUAAAGUGGUACGCGAGCUGGGUUUAAAACGUCGUGAGACAGUUUGGUCCCUAUCUUCUGUGGGCGUAGGAGAAUUGAAAGGGCCUGUCCCUAGUACGAGAGGACCGGGAUGGACACACCACUGGUGGACCUGUUGUCGUGCCAACGGCACAGCAGGGUAGCUAUGUGUGGAAGGGAUAACCGCUGAAAGCAUCUAAGCGGGAAGCCUGCCUUAAGAUAAGUUCUCCCUGACGCAAGUCCUGAAGGGCCGAGGUAGACGACCUCGUCGAUAGGCUGGAGGUGGAAGCCCUGUGAGGGGUGGAGCUGACCAGUACUAAUAGCCCGUGCGUCUUGUUUCU
Molecule: ribosomal RNA, 1834 nt
Filed under: human gut metagenome
Description: bacterial LSU rRNA
Rfam family: Bacterial large subunit ribosomal RNA
Source: RNAcentral